RNAcentral lists this ribosomal RNA (914 nucleotides) under uncultured Bacilli bacterium. RNAcentral's name for it is "SSU rRNA". It matches the Rfam family "Bacterial small subunit ribosomal RNA", at positions 8 to 916 of the family's 1533-position model. The record is from RNAcentral. Lineage: Bacteria; Bacillati; Bacillota; Bacilli.
AGAGUUUGAUCCUGGCUCAGGACGAACGCUGGCGGCGUGCCUAAUACAUGCAAGUCGAGCGAACCACUUCGGUGGUUAGCGGCGGACGGGUGAGUAACACGUGGGCAACCUGCCUGUAAGACUGGGAUAACUUCGGGAAACCGGAGCUAAUACCGGAUAAUCCUUUUCCUCUCAUGAGGGAAAGCUGAAAGACGGUUUCGGCUGUCACUUACAGAUGGGCCCGCGGCGCAUUAGCUAGUUGGUGAGGUAACGGCUCACCAAGGCGACGAUGCGUAGCCGACCUGAGAGGGUGAUCGGCCACACUGGGACUGAGACACGGCCCAGACUCCUACGGGAGGCAGCAGUAGGGAAUCUUCCACAAUGGACGAAAGUCUGAUGGAGCAACGCCGCGUGAGCGAUGAAGGCCUUCGGGUCGUAAAGCUCUGUUGUUAGGGAAGAACAAGUACCGGAGUAACUGCCGGUACCUUGACGGUACCUAACCAGAAAGCCACGGCUAACUACGUGCCAGCAGCCGCGGUAAUACGUAGGUGGCAAGCGUUGUCCGGAAUUAUUGGGCGUAAAGCGCGCGCAGGCGGUCCUUUAAGUCUGAUGUGAAAGCCCACGGCUCAACCGUGGAGGGUCAUUGGAAACUGGGGGACUUGAGUACAGAAGAGGAAAGCGGAAUUCCACGUGUAGCGGUGAAAUGCGUAGAGAUGUGGAGGAACACCAGUGGCGAAGGCGGCUUUCUGGUCUGUAACUGACGCUGAGGCGCGAAAGCGUGGGGAGCAAACAGGAUUAGAUACCCUGGUAGUCCACGCCGUAAACGAUGAGUGCUAAGUGUUAGGGGGUUUCCGCCCCUUAGUGCUGCAGCUAACGCAUUAAGCACUCCGCCUGGGGAGUACGGCCGCAAGGCUGAAACUUAAAGGAAUUGACGG